This 29-nucleotide non-coding RNA is filed under the name Rattus norvegicus (Norway rat). Lineage: Eukaryota; Metazoa; Chordata; Mammalia; Rodentia; Muridae. The record is from RNAcentral.
AUAAUUGAUGUGGGAGGACCUCGUUCACU